GCCGAGAUAGCUCAGUCGGUAGAGCACAGGUCUGAAAAACCUGGUGUCGCGAGUUCGAUUCUCGCUCUCGGCA
Molecule: transfer RNA, 73 nt
Filed under: Candidatus Velthaea sp.
Lineage: Bacteria; Bacillati; Vulcanimicrobiota; Vulcanimicrobiia; Vulcanimicrobiales; Vulcanimicrobiaceae
Description: tRNA-Phe
Rfam family: tRNA
About the family: Transfer RNA (tRNA) molecules are approximately 80 nucleotides in length.
Source: RNAcentral